RNAcentral lists this ribosomal RNA (497 nucleotides) under uncultured bacterium. RNAcentral's name for it is "partial 16S ribosomal RNA". It matches the Rfam family "Bacterial small subunit ribosomal RNA", at positions 28 to 507 of the family's 1533-position model. The record is from RNAcentral.
GAUGAACGCUGGCGGCGUGCCUAAUACAUGCAAGUCGAGCGGACGGACGAGAAGCUUGCUUCUCUCAUGUUAGCGGCGGACGGGUGAGUAACACGUGGAUAACCUACCUAUAAGACUGGGAUAACUUCGGGAAACCGGAGCUAAUACCGGAUAAUAUUUUGAACCGCAUGGUUCAAAAGUGAAAGACGGUCUUGCUGUCACUUCUAGAUGGAUCCGCGCUGCAUUAGCUAGUUGGUAAGGUAACGGCUUACCAAGGCAACGAUGCAUAGCCGACCUGAGAGGGUGGUCGGCCACACUGGAACUGAGACACGGACCAGACGCCUGAGGGAGGCAGCAGUAGGGAAUCUUACGCAAUGGGCGAAAGCCUUACGGAGCAACGCCGCGUGAGUGAUGAAGGUCUUCGGAUCGUGAAACUCUGUUAUGAGGGAAGAACAUAUGUGUAAGGAACUGUGCACAUCUUGACGGUACCUAAUCAGAAAGCCCCGGCUAACUACGUG